RNAcentral lists this ribosomal RNA (497 nucleotides) under uncultured bacterium. RNAcentral's name for it is "partial 16S ribosomal RNA". It matches the Rfam family "Bacterial small subunit ribosomal RNA", at positions 28 to 507 of the family's 1533-position model. The record is from RNAcentral.
GACGAACGCUGGCGGCGUGCCUAAUACAUGCAAGUUGAGCGCUGAAGGUUGGUACUUGUACCAACUGGAUGAGCAGCGAACGGGUGAGUAACGCGUGGGGAAUCUGCCUUUGAGCGGGGGACAACAUUUGGAAACGAAUGCUAAUACCGCAUAAAAACUUUAAACACAAGUUUUAAGUUUGAAAGAUGCAAUUGCAUCACUCAAAGAUGAUCCCGCGUUGUAUUAGCUAGUUGGUGAGGUAAAGGCUCACCAAGGCGAUGAUACAUAGCCGUCCUGAGAGGGUGAUCGGCCACAUUGGGACUGAGACACGGCCCAAACUCCUACGGGAGGCAGCAGUAGGGAAUCUUCGGCAAUGGACGAAAGUCUGACCGAGCAACGCCGCGUGAGUGAAGAAGGUUUUCGGAUCGUAAAACUCUGUUGGUAGAGAAGAACGUUGGUGAGAGUGGAAAGCUCAUCAAGUGACGGUAACUACCCAGAAAGGGACGGCUAACUACGUG